AAGCAUACAUAUGAUCUCUUAUGAUUUGGUUUACAUUCACAGAGAGACACAUGCAUGCUGCCACAACAUUAAAUAACACACAGCAUUGAAGAGCAAGAGCAAAGAAUAGUGAUUCAAUGCUAGGAAGCUGUAAAGAUGAUGAGAAUGCAAGAAAACACAGAGAAGAGAUCCUCUCUUAUUCAAUCAGCAAUAAGAUAAGAGAUGGUUUAGGCAUGGUUGUUGUUCUCCUCCACUGGAGGGUGCUUCUUGUAUGGUGGCUUUUUGUAUGGUGGCUUGUAAUAUGGUGGUUUAUGCUUGUAAACUGGUGGCUUGUAAAUAGGAUGCUUAUAGACUGGAGGCUUGUAAAUAGGAUGCUUCUUAAUGGGUUUGUAAUAAGUGGCCAAACCUUGAGGAAUGAGGAUAAGAGCAGCAAGAAGUAACACCAGAAAGGAUAAAAAGGAAGCCAUGAUUAGGGUUGGA
RNAcentral lists this long non-coding RNA (459 nucleotides) under Phaseolus vulgaris (common bean). Its description in RNAcentral is "long non-coding RNA (PVUL_LNC002839)". The record is from RNAcentral. Lineage: Eukaryota; Viridiplantae; Streptophyta; Magnoliopsida; Fabales; Fabaceae.